RNAcentral lists this long non-coding RNA (658 nucleotides) under Marmota monax (woodchuck). Lineage: Eukaryota; Metazoa; Chordata; Mammalia; Rodentia; Sciuridae. The record is from RNAcentral.
AGAUAUUAUCCUUGUUUUUUUUAUUUUUGUUAAGAGUUGCUUUGUGGCCUAAGAUAUGGUCUAUUUUAGAGAAGGAUCCAUGUGAACGAAGUGUAUUGACUCAUUGAUGGAUGAAAUCCUAUAGAUGUCUUUUAAGUCUAAGUUAUUAAUUGUAUUUUUUAGUUCCAUAGUUUAUUUAGUUUUUAUUUGCAGGAGCUAUCAAAUGGUAAGAGAGUUGUAUUCAAGAUACCCAGUAUUACUGUGUUGUGGUCUAUUUGAUUCUUGAAGUUGAGAAGGGUUUGUUUGAUGUACAUAGAUUCUUCAUUGUUUGGGUCAUAAAUAUUUACAAUUGUUAUGUCUUGUUAAUGUAUUAUUCCAUUAAGCAAUAUGAAAUGUCCUUUGUCCCUUCUAAUUAAGUUUGGCAUGAAGUCUACUUUAUCUGAUAUGACAAUGGAAACCCCUGCUUGUUUGUGAGCGCCGUGUGAAUAUGUUUUUCCUCAUGGUUUUACUGGAUAUCUUUGCCUAUGAAAUGAGUCUUUUGUAGACAGCAUAUUGUUGGGUCCAGUUUUUUCAUCCAAACUGGCCCAUUAUGUCUUUUGAUUGAUGAAUUUAGGCCACUUACAUUCAGUGUUAUUAUUGAGAGAUGAUUUUUAUUCCCUGUCAUUUUGAUUUAUUUCUG